RNAcentral lists this ribosomal RNA (539 nucleotides) under uncultured archaeon. Its description in RNAcentral is "bacterial SSU rRNA". It matches the Rfam family "Bacterial small subunit ribosomal RNA", at positions 513 to 1050 of the family's 1533-position model. The record is from RNAcentral.
AGCCGCGGUAAUACGUAGGUGGCAAGCGUUGUCCGGAUUUAUUGGGCGUAAAGCGAGCGCAGGCGGAAAGAUAAGUCUGAAGUGAAAGCCCCCGGCUUAACCGGGGAACUGCUUCGGAAACUGUCCUUCUUGAGUGCAGAAGAGGAGAGUGGAACUCCAUGUGUAGCGGUGGAAUGCGUAGAUAUAUGGAAGAACACCAGUGGCGAAGGCGGCUCUCUGGUCUGCAACUGACGCUGAGGCUCGAAAGCAUGGGUAGCGAACAGGAUUAGAUACCCUGGUAGUCCAUGCCGUAAACGAUGAGUGCUAGGUGUUGGGGACUUUCCGGUUCUCAGUGCCGCAGCUAACGCAAUAAGCACUCCGCCUGGGGAGUACGACCGCAAGGUUGAAACUCAAAGGAAUUGACGGGGGCCCGCACAAGCGGUGGAGCAUGUGGUUUAAUUCGAAGCAACGCGAAGAACCUUACCAGGUCUUGACAUCCUGCGCCAAGCCUAGAGAUAGGCCGUUCCCUUCGGGGACGCAGAGACAGGUGGUGCAUGGCC